UACAGGGAAUAUCUGUCAUCUGUGAUGCCUUGAUAGAUCAUAUGCUGGUGGUCUGUCCAUUGUAUGAGAUGUCCCCAUUAGCUGUGCCUUGGAAGUUUCCACCAUCAGGAACCACAGAGAGACAGGCUCCAGGGAUCCUGUGCUAUUUGAGACCCACAAGAAAAGACCCUGUCCUGGAGCAGCCUAGGGGAGCCUGAGCAUCAAGAGAUGAGCUUCCUAGAGCAAGGAGACAGUUCCUCAUGGCCUUCACCAGCCACGACCACCAGUUCAGAAAUAAUCCAUGGGAAACGGGGGGGCAAGGCAUCAAGAUGGACGAGGCAGGAGGCUGUGGAGGAAGGAGAACCACUGGAUCUGGAAGAAGGUCCCCCUUCCAGGCCAGCUGCUGAGUCCACCGGGCUGGAGGCCACAUUCCCAGAAGCCACACCCUUGGCCAAAGCUGCUCCCUUGGCCCGGGUGGGCACCAAGCCCACAGGGUGGGAACUCUUCCCCCAGCACUCUGCAGCCUCAGCCGCCAGCUCCAGCACAGAUGAUCUGGAGGUGGCCAUUGAGUUCCCAGCCCCAGAAGCCUGGGGCUUUGAACUUGAAGGCCCUGGGGAAGAGAGGCCUGCCCCAUGCCCAUCGCCACAGGCUCCAUUACUCAGCCUGGGCUGGGAGGACGAGCUGCAGAAGCCUGGGGCCCAGGUCUACAUGCACUUCAUGCAGGAGCACACCUGCUAUGAUGCCAUGGCAACCAGCUCCAAGCUGGUCAUCUUUGACACCACGCUGGAGAUCAAGAAGGCCUUCUUUGCCCUGGUGGCCAAUGGUGUGCGGGCAGCACCUCUAUGGGACAGCAAGAAGCAAAGUUUUGUGGGGAUGCUCACCAUCACAGACUUCAUCCUGGUGCUUCACAGAUACUACAGGUCCCCCCUGGUCCAGAUCUAUGAGAUUGAAGAACAUAAAAUCGAGACUUGGAGGGAGAUCUACCUCCAAGGCUGCUUCAAGCCUCUGGUCUCCAUCUCUCCCAAUGACAGCCUGUUCGAAGCCGUCUAUGUCCUCAUUAAGAACCGGAUCCAUCGCCUUCCAGUCCUGGAUCCUGUCUCUGGCACGGUGCUCUACAUCCUCACACACAAGCGGCUGCUCAAGUUCCUGCACAUUUUUGGUGCCCUGCUGCCCCGGCCCUCCUUCCUCUACCGCACUAUCCAAGAUUUGGGCAUCGGUACAUUCCGAGAUUUGGCUGUGGUACUGGAAACAGCGCCCGUCCUUACGGCACUGGACAUCUUCGUGGACCGGCGUGUGUCUGCCCUGCCUGUGAUCAAUGAAUCUGGUCAGGUCGUGGGCCUCUACUCCCGCUUUGAUGUGAUUCAUUUGGCUGCCCAGAAAACCUACAACCACCUAGACAUGAGUGUGGGAGAAGCCCUGCGACAGAGGACACUGUGUCUGGAGGGGGUCCUUUCCUGCCAGCCCCACGAGAGCCUGGGAGAAGUCAUUGACAGGAUUGCUCGAGAACAGGUACACCGGCUGGUGCUAGUAGACGAGACCCAGCAUCUCCUGGGCGUGGUUUCCCUCUCCGACAUCCUUCAGGCGCUGGUGCUGAGCCCUGCUGGCAUUGAUGCCCUCGGUGCCUGAGAAGACGAGUCCUCACUCCUAUUCCCCUCACCUUCCAUACCCUGAAGACAAGGAAAGGAGCAGGGGACCCAGAUUUCAUCUUUCCCCAUCUGUUUGCCAAGUCAGCUCUGUUCCAGGCUUCUCCAGCCUUCCUGAUUGUCCUUGCCCUGCCUAUACUCCCCAAAGUUCUUGGGCAUGCCCAGUGCACUGUGGGAUGAUGAAAUUAAGGAGAACAACUGAGUCAAGGCUGGAGGUCCCUGAAGCACAGGCACUGGGACUACCCCAGGGCCAUCUAUGCCCCAUAUGCACUCAUAUCCCUUUCCCCUACCUGGAUCAGGCUGGUUGGGAUGUGAUAGUGAGCCAGUAGCCUGUAGGCUUAUUCAAGGGCUCUGGAUUCCUGGGCUUCUGGACUGUGUUUGGCUCGCACCUGGGAGACCCAACUGUUCUUUCCCCAUGGGGACCACUUUAGUGGUUCCCUAUAACUUUGCCGCUGCCCUUCUACCCUCCUGGCGUGGUCAUUUCAGGGCUGCUAGGGUCACAAUGGAACAGCAGUUACUUGUAGAACUGUCUGAUGGUGGGGGUCUUCUCUCCAUGGUAGUCCAGAAAAUGCCUUAUCUCUCACCAGUGACAGAUGACCUUGUAUUUGGAUCCCUGAAAAUGAGCAAUCAAAAACACAAAUGCAAAAAGAACAAGCCAUGAACUUGAAUUUUUAUAAAUUCCACUCAAAAUGCUAGGUGUUUAACCUAACUUUCUGAAGAUCCUUCUGCUUUCUGAAUGUAAGACUUGGAGGAAAAGUCUACGAUUGACAAAAGCAGCAAGUGGCGUUUCUUUUGUGCAUAGAAUGUUAUUCCACUGACUUUUAAAAAAAUGUUUUCUUUAUAACAAAAAUCAUAAAAUAUUUAUUAAUUUAUUACAUGGUAGGUAAAACCCAGUCUAUAAAACUCGAGCUUGUAAGAAAUAGCUAUGUUUCUAACACUGAAUGCAAUUUCUAUUAUGAACCCCAUACCAGGUGGUGGAAAUUGAUCUAGUCAAUUUGGAGUCUCUUCCCAUCUUUUCCUGGGACUAAGUUUGGAAAACUUUAAGUAGCAUAAGCCUUUGUUCCCCAGUGCAGCAUCCACCAUGCCAGUACCUGCUGAAACAUCCCUGUUGGCAGUUGGUCGAUCAUUGGUGUGCACAGUCACAGACAUUGCCAUGUGCUCCCUUACUCCCAAAGCCUGUUGGAGCCUGACUGUGCUUGGGGCAAGCAAGACAUUUUAGCUCCAGUCCCUCCAUCCCUCUGGGUUUUGGAAGCUCUAUGAGGCUGUUCCAGGCCCAUGUGCUGAGCUGUACAGCUAGUAUCCUGUUCUACCCUACAUCUUACCAUUUUUUCCAGACUCUACUGGGAACACGGGGCACCAGGCUCUUCUACCCUUAGACUCUCCUCACCUGUAUGAGGUAUUUAUCAUACAUACCCCUUCCCCUUCAGACUUUUCCCCUUUUCUUAGGGACCCCAUAAAUGUCCACUGCCAUCUCCAGCCCAUCCCAACCUAUGGAACCUUUACCAAUGGGGAGAGAGGAGACCUUGGUCCUCUAACCCAUCAUAUUUAUAUUCGGCCAAAUCCACAGUCUGUGUCCUGAGUUCUUGCUACCCACUGUGAGGAUCAGCCUUUUGAAACUCCAAGGCCAAGACUAGGCUUCUCCUCUGUCACCCUCCCCUGUGGCAAUGGGCACCGAAGCUCCAGUUGUCUCAUGCAGGAAGCAUAGGUUAAUAUUUCUGAAAUAUGAUCUUGCCCCCAUUACCUCCCAGAGCUGCAGAGUGGAGACAUUUGUGAUGAUCUGUCAGGCAGGAAAUGAAGGUAUUUUCUCACUAGCCAUUUUGCCAGAUCCCAGAGUCUCUGCUGGCUCUGCUCUGUCCCUUAGGAAGGUGUGAGGUAUUGGCUCGAGUGGGAGGAUGAGAAGGGGGCAACAGUUGCGUCUGGGCCAAAGGAAGAUCUCUCAAGUGACAAUGUCCUUGGGGAGUUCAGGGUGGGCUGCCCCCAGCAAGCGCUGGCUCUGGAGAAUGUAAUAACAACCUUGAUGGUGUGACUCUGAGUUGCUGUGCCUGAGUCAGGCCUUCAGGGGUGAUAGCAAGGCUGAGGAAGUCAUCAGGUCCCCUUGGGCUCCCCUCACACUUUCCUGAGAAUAUGAACAACUCUACUUGUGUGGGGUCACCAUUCUGAGGACACAGCAGAGCUCCUCCUUGGGCGCUUUGUGGGGAACCAUCCCACCUCCCUGUCUCUUUUGAUCAAGUUCCACCCUCAGCUUCUGGCUCACCCUUGCAGCCAUCAUGGCUACCAGAAAAAGAGAUGUAGAAUUUCCAUGGAGGCUGCAAGCACUUCCACCCUAGCUCAGAAUAACCCUUCCCUAAAGUGCAGUCUGCCCUGCUGUCCCCUCGUGCCUAAGUAGGGGUCAAGCAUUGUUGUCCCCAGCUCCUCUUCAGUCCCCCAAGGCUUCUCUGCAUUUCUGUGCCCUCAGGGCUGGACUGUCAGGCCUCCUUUGCUUUCCCCAUCUCUUCUCUCAACCCUCUCAAUGGUUCUCGGCCCUGGGUGUGCUUCAGGAUCACCAAGGAAGCUUUGUAAAAUCCAGAGCCCAGGGACUCAUUCAUAGAUAUACCCAUUUCCUGAUUUUGGAGUGUAGCCUGGGCAUCUAUGUUUAUUUUCUAUAAAAACAAGAAACUUACAGUUACUAACACAUGAUGAGCAUGAGAGUGUGCUGAGAAAGCAGGAUGAAUGUCUUAUUGCAUAGUAAAGUCAAUGCAGUUCCCUGUCUAUUGUCACAUGAUGGGAUCUAUCUAUUAUUAAAUUUUGACUAAAGUCUACAAGAAGCAAUGGCUAAGAAUGACAGCAUGUUAUAAAGGACAUGUAAUUUAUUAGCCUCUCACAGAUCCUCUUCCCAACAUCCUUAAGCACAACAGUAUUCAGUAUAAUGUUAUUAUUGUUCAUUCCAUGAUGACAGCUGUCAAUUUUUACUUGACAGACAUAUUAAAACUAGAAUCAUACACAACAAUUUGGAAAAAAAUUUCUAUUAUCAAACCAAGAUGCAUUCAGAGCUAAAAUGUCUACAGAACAUGAGUGUUUUAAUAAAGCAGACAUCCAGGCAAUGCCGGCGCCCUUGUCUAUUUUUAAUCACAAGAGUGUUGGCUAGUUGUUUAAGAAGACAAGCUGUUCUCUUAAAAACCUUACUCAAAAUAUCGAUCCCACUUUGACCAACAAAUUCCAAUGAGCUGGACUGGGAGUAACAAAAGGUGCGUUCUUUUCAGUUAAAGGUGUAUCUGCUGGGCUGAAUCAAUCUACAAUUAUCCUACAUCUGCUAAUAUUUUUCCUUAUAGAGGCAGGUAGGGUGGGCCAUCAGGGAGCCUCACUGUAACAUCCCUUUGCUGUGACUCUUGGGCACCCUGAGAUUCUCAGACCCUGGAAGGGGGUGCCAUUACUGGCCACUUAUGGGCUUUGUGCCAACCCUCCAACAGGGCUUCUGCUGUUCACCCUGCACAGAGAAAGCUGCAAGGGAAGGGACCUACCUAUGACAUCACAUCCACCCUGUCACACUUAUGCGUGCUUGAACGAACCACUGUCAAAUAAAGUAAUGUUUUCGUUUACAUUAAAGCAGUCUUGUGAGGCAUUGCAAUGGAAUAUGC
Non-coding RNA from Ictidomys tridecemlineatus (thirteen-lined ground squirrel), 5236 nucleotides. The record is from RefSeq and is a predicted model, not a curated record. Lineage: Eukaryota; Metazoa; Chordata; Mammalia; Rodentia; Sciuridae.